RNAcentral lists this ribosomal RNA (541 nucleotides) under uncultured archaeon. RNAcentral describes it as "bacterial SSU rRNA". It matches the Rfam family "Archaeal small subunit ribosomal RNA", at positions 326 to 869 of the family's 1478-position model. The record is from RNAcentral.
CGGGGUGCACCAGGCGCGAAAACUUUGCAAUAAGCGAAAGCUUGACAGGGCUAUCCCGAGUGCCAUCCGCUGAGGAAGGCUUUUACCCAGUCUAGAACGCUGGGGGAAUAAGGAGAGGGCAAGUCUGGUGUCAGCCGCCGCGGUAAUACCAGCUCUCCGAGUGGUGUGGAUGUUUAUUGGGCCUAAAGCAUCCGUAGCUGGCUAAGUUAGUCCCUUGUUAAAUCCACCGAAUUAAUCGUUGGAUUGCGGGGGAUACUGCUUGGCUAGGGGACGAGAGAGGCAGACGGUAUUUCCGGGGUAGGGGUGAAAUCCUAUAAUCCCGGGAAGACCACCAGUGGCGAAGGCUGUCUGCUAGAACGCGCCCGACGGUGAGGGAUGAAAGCUGGGGGAGCGAACCGGAUUAGAUACCCGGGUAGUCCCAGCUGUAAACGAUGCAGGCUAGGUGUUUGGACGGCCACGUGCCGUUCUAGUGCCGCAGGGAAGCUGUUAAGCCUGCCGCCUGGGGAGUACGAUCGCAAGAUUGAAACUUAAAGGAAUUGGC